This 253-nucleotide ribosomal RNA is filed under the name uncultured bacterium. RNAcentral describes it as "partial 16S ribosomal RNA". It matches the Rfam family "Bacterial small subunit ribosomal RNA", at positions 524 to 776 of the family's 1533-position model. The record is from RNAcentral.
UACAGAGGGGGCAAGCGUUGUUCGGAAUUACUGGGCGUAAAGGGCGCGUAGGCGGCCUGUUAAGUCGAACGUGAAAUCCCCGGGCUCAACCCGGGAACUGCGUCCGAUACUGGCAGGCUUGAAUCCGGGAGAGGGAUGUGGAAUUCCAGGUGUAGCGGUGAAAUGCGUAGAUAUCUGGAGGAAUACCGGUGGCGAAGGCGGCAUCCUGGACCGGCAUUGACGCUGAGGAGCGAAAGCCAGGGGAGCAAACGGG